UUAAAGUGAAGAGUUUGAUCCUGGCUCAGAUUGAACGCUGGCGGCAUGCCUAACACAUGCAAGUCGAACGGCAGCGCGGGGGAGCUUGCUCCCCUGGCGGCGAGUGGCGGACGGGUGAGUAACGCGCAGGAAUCUGCCCAGUAGUGGGGGACAACUCGGAGAAAUCCGAGCUAAUACCGCAUACGCCCUUCGGGGGAAAGCGGGGGAUCUUCGGACCUCGCGCUAUUGGAUGAGCCUACGUCCGAUUAGCUUGUUGGUGGGGUAACGGCCUACCAAGGCGACGAUCGGUAGCUGGUCUGAGAGGAUGAUCAGCCACACUGGGACUGAGACACGGCCCAGACUCCUACGGGAGGCAGCAGUGGGGAAUAUUGGACAAUGGGGG
This 382-nucleotide ribosomal RNA is filed under the name Chromatiales bacterium. Its description in RNAcentral is "bacterial SSU rRNA". It matches the Rfam family "Bacterial small subunit ribosomal RNA", at positions 1 to 377 of the family's 1533-position model. Lineage: Bacteria; Pseudomonadati; Pseudomonadota; Gammaproteobacteria; Chromatiales. The record is from RNAcentral.